Non-coding RNA from Acanthosepion pharaonis, 102 nucleotides. The record is from the annotation of a GenBank genome assembly. NCBI's taxonomy places the organism in Eukaryota, Metazoa, Mollusca, Cephalopoda, Sepiida, Sepiidae.
UUACGGCUAUAUCAUGUCGAAACCCCGGUUCACGUACGGUCACUGAAGUUAAGCAAUGUCGAGCUUGGUCAGUACCUAGAUGGGUGACCGCUUGAGAAUACU